This is an RNA transcript of Mandrillus leucophaeus (drill), 2117 nucleotides long. It is a transcript of the gene named nuclear factor NF-kappa-B p100 subunit-like, with no coding region annotated. The record is from RefSeq and is a predicted model, not a curated record. Lineage: Eukaryota; Metazoa; Chordata; Mammalia; Primates; Cercopithecidae. The transcript is spliced from 4 exons.
AUGUCCCCGCCUGGGGCGCUAUCCGGUGCUGCAAUGUCCCCGCCUGGGGCGCUAUCCGGUGCUGCAAUGUCCCCGGCUGGGGCGCUAUCUGGUGCUGCAAUGUCCCCGGCUGGGGCGCUAUCCGGUGCUGCAAUGUUCCACGCAGGGACGGGUUGGGGUGCUGUCGGCUGCUACUCUGCGCUGCAAGAAGCGGGGGUGUCGGGGCGCUAUCGGGCUGCCCUGCCAGCAGGGGCAGAGGUGGCGGCUGCCUGUGGUCUCCAAGAAAGGAGGCUCCUCCUCUCCCUAGACUCCAGACUCCAGAGGGCGACCUCCUCCUGCUCCUGCUCCGGUGCCGCGAGUGCGCAACGUUUCCACGGGAAUCCUGAGCACGGCAGGGCCCCCACACCCGCCGCGGUUCCCAGGCCUGCGUCCUCUCUGUCUGUGUUGCAGAGACCGCCUGGGACCCCUGGGAACGCCAGACACGGAGUAGCGGACACCACGCGGGGACAGGGCCCUGUGCGUGGAGGCGUCAGGAUCGGGAACAGCACUUGGGUGGGAGGGUUGGCUGGGUCUCAGUUCCUGCUGGUUUGGCUCCCUACGGAGUGCAAGCCCUGGUGGGCCCAGCGGUUCCUGUGGAUUGGGGAGCCGGGCAAUGUGGUGUUUCCAGUCCCCACUCCAGGCCCCAGUUCCUGGCCAGCUUGGGCCAAAAGGAGAGGCUGGACUUUGGUGGGUGGCGCUAGUGGUGGCAGCAGCAGCAGCAGCAGCAAGGCCGCAGGCCGGGAAUGGGGAGUAGGAGCCCUGCGGGUCCUGCCUGCGGGUCCUGCCCUGCCAGGCCUUGGAUGGAUAGGAUGCUUCGGGUGGGUAGGAAGCUUUGGGUGCUGUAUCACAGUCUCGGUGGAAGUGGUGGAGGAACAGCCAGGGCAAGAAAGAGGAGUCCUCCUUCUCCUGCAGUCUCUGCAGGGCGCCCUCCUCCUGCUGGUGCUUCAGCCAGUGCCUGGAAGGGACUCCAAGGAGGAAGCCACACAGCUGAGCGCUCCCUCCAGGACCACCUCCCUGCCCCCUCCACCCAGUGUGAGCCGCUAGCCUUGGAGAUGCUGUAGCAAGCCUGAGAGUACAAUACGUGCCUGUUCAGCCUGGUGCAGCACAGCGCCCGGGCCCUACUCCACUACGGUGUCACCACAGAGCCCUGCUGGUGGGACGGCACCACCCGCUGACAGAGCAGAUGAGAACGGAGACAUGCUACUGCACCUGGCCAUCAUCCACAGGCCGACCAGUGUCAUGGAGCAGAUAGCCCACGUCAUCUACCACGCCAAGCACCUCGGCGUCGUCAGCCUCACCAACCACUUGCACCAGACGCCCCUGCACCUGGCGGUGAUCACUGGGCAGACAAGGGUGGUGAGGUUUCGACUGCAGGUGGGUGCAGACCCAGCACUGCUGAUCGGCGUGGAGACUCAGCCAUGCACCUGGCACUGCAGGCAGGCGCUAGUGCCUCAGAGUUGCUGUGUGCACUGCUUUGGAGUGGAGCUCCCGCUGUCCCCCAGCUGUUGCACAUGCCUGACUUCGAGGGACUGCAUCCAGCACAUCUGGCGGUCCGAGCCCGAAGUCCUGAGUGUCUGGAUCUGCUGGUGAACAGUGGGGCUGAAGUGGAGGUCACAGAGCAGCAGGGGGGCCGAACAGCCUUGCAUCUCGCCACAGAGAUGGAGGCGCUGGGGUUGGUCACCCAUCUGGUCACCAAGCUCCGGGCCAACGUGAACGAUCGCACCUUUGUGGGAAACACACCGCUGCACGUGGCAGCUGGACUGGGAUCCCCCACCCUCACCUUCCUCCUUCUGAAGGCUGGUGCUGAUAAUGCUGACAACAAGGGCCCCCUGUGCCCACUGCCCUCACCCCCUCCUCUGAGAGCAACUCGGACUCGGAGGGGCCUGAGAAGGACACCCGAAGCAGCUUCCAGGGCCACACGCCUCAGCCUCACCCACAGCACCAAGGUGAAGACCUUGCUGCUAAAUGCCGUUCAGAACACCAUGGAGCUGCCCCUGACCCCGCCCAGCCCUGCAGGCCCAGAUAGCUCACCAAAAUGUGCGGCUGGCUGUGUGUUCCUUACUGAUGUCCUGCGAGCCCUUAAGGUAUUCCAACAAUGA